This 288-nucleotide ribosomal RNA is filed under the name uncultured Comamonadaceae bacterium. RNAcentral's name for it is "partial 16S ribosomal RNA". It matches the Rfam family "Bacterial small subunit ribosomal RNA", at positions 1 to 297 of the family's 1533-position model. The record is from RNAcentral. Lineage: Bacteria; Pseudomonadati; Pseudomonadota; Betaproteobacteria; Burkholderiales; Comamonadaceae.
UGACGAGUUUGAUCCUGGCUCAGAUUGAACGCUGGCGGAAUGCUUUACACAUGCAAGUCGAACGGUAGAGGGGGCAACCCCUUGAGAGUGGCGAACGGGUGAGUAAUAUAUCGGAACGUGCCCACGUCGUGGGGAGUAACGUAGCGAAAGUUAACGCUAAUACCGCAUACGAUCUAAGGAUGAAAGCGGGGAGUCGCAAGACCUCGCGCGAUUGGAGCGGCCGAUAUCAGAUUAGGUAGUUGGUGAGGUAAAGGCUCACCAAGCCAACGAUCUGUAGCUGGUCUGAGA